UUUGAUCCUGGCUCAGACUGAACGCUUUAUGGAUGCUUUGGCGACAAGUCGAACGGCAGCACGGACUCGGUCCGGUGGCGAGCGGCGAACGGGCAGAGCAAUGUAACGGAACGCCUAGUAGCGGGGAUAACUACGCGAAAGCGUAGCUACUACAUCGCCCUUCGGGGAAAGCGGGGACCUUCGGGCCUCGCGCACUGCUAGGAGCGGCCGAUAUCGGAUUAGCUAGUUGGUGGGGCAAUGCUUCACCAGCGUGACGAUCCGUAGCUGUUUGAGAGACGACCAGCCACACUGGACUGAGACACGCCAGACUCCUACGGGAGGCAGCAGUGGGAAUUUUGGACAAUGGGGAAACCCUGAUCCAGCCAUCCCGCGUGCGAUGGAAGGCCUCGUCAUAAAGCACUUUUGGCAGGAAAGAAACGGCACGGAUAAUAAUUCCGUGCAACUGACGGUAAAAUUGCAGAAUAAGCACCGGCUACACGCCAGCAGCCGCGGUAAUACGUAGGGCAAGCGUUAAUCGGAAUUAUCGGGGCGUAAAAGCGUGCGCAGGCGGUUCGGAAAGAAAGAUGUGAAAUCCCAGAGCUUAACUUUGGAACUGUAUUUUUAACUGAGCUAGAGCGUGUCAGAGGGGAGGCGGAAUUCCGGCGUAGCAGUGAAUGCGUAGAUAUGAGGAACACCGAUGGCGAAGGCAGCCUUCCUGGGAUAACACUGACGCUCAUGCAGAACAGAAAGCGUGGGGAGCAAACAGGAUUAGAUACCCUGGGUAGUCCACGCGCCUCAAACACGUCAAUCCGCUGUUGGGGCCUCUGGCCCGGUAGCGCAGCUAACGCAGUUGACCGCCUGGGGAGUACGGUCGCAAGAUUAAAACUCAAAGGAAUUGACGGGACCGCAUACGGGUGGAUGAUGUGGAUUAAUCGAUGCAAACGAAAAACCUUUACCUACCCUUGACAUAUGUCUGGAAUCCCGAAGAGAUUUGGGGAAAGCCGCAAAGAGAACCGGCACACAGGUGCCGUAUGGCUGUCACCGCUCGUGUCGUGAGAUGUUGGGUUAUCCCGCAACGAGCAACUCUUGUCAUUAGUUGCUGAAAGGGCACUCUAAUGAGAUCGCUGGUGACAAACCGGAGGAAGGUGGGGAUGACGUUAAGUCCUCAUGGCCCUUAUGGGUAGGGCUUCACACGUCAUGCACACGGUCGGGACAGAGGGUCGCCAAACCUGCGAGGGGAGCCAAUCCCAGAAACCCGAUCAGCCCGAUCGCAGUCUGCAACUCGACUGCGUGAAGUCGGAAUCGCCAGUAAUCGUGGAUCAGCAUGCUGCGGUGAAUACGUUCCCGGGUCUUGUGCACACCGCCUGUCACACCAUGGGCGAUGGGCUGGUCUUACCAGAAGUAGUUAGCCAACCGUAAGGAGGGCGAUUACCACGGUAGGAUUCAUGAUCGUGGUAGAAGUCGUAACAAGGGGGCA
Molecule: ribosomal RNA, 1456 nt
Filed under: uncultured Bordetella sp.
Lineage: Bacteria; Pseudomonadati; Pseudomonadota; Betaproteobacteria; Burkholderiales; Alcaligenaceae
Description: partial 16S-23S ribosomal RNA intergenic spacer
Rfam family: Bacterial small subunit ribosomal RNA
Source: RNAcentral